GUGUCUGUGGCAGCAUCUGUGUGUGUAUGUGAGACUGAAAGGAGGUGGGAGAUGAGGAGGGGAAGGGAAUCAGCUCCAGCAGCAACAGGCUCUAUUCUUCAGUUCUGCUAAAAGAAAGAGGAAGAGAGGAAGAAAAAAAUAGACACUCCUUUUUUUUCUCACGACACACCCUGAAGGAGAAGGCGCCUAGGCGCUGUCCGUAGUGCUGAAAUGGUGCGUGGUGAGACCUGUCUCCCCAACACAAGCUAGAAGACAACAAAAUAGCAGCCAGGAAACGCUCUGAUAAAGCUCUAGAUAGCUGCCAGGCCGAGCUCAAGGGAGCAGAACUAAGUUACAUGAUUCUGCUGCGGAUGUAUAAGCACCACUCCAAUAAUUUAUUAUCACGGUUGGAGACUUUGACUUGUCACUUUAUGACUUGAAAUAUGGCUCCAUGGUAAAUGCCCAUAAAGCUGAUUUUUAAAAUCUGGAUAUUACAGUUCUAAUUCUCACUUAGUUUAAAAGGUAGAAUAGGCUUCUUGUUUCAUAGAUCAUUUGUGUGAAUGUUGAUUUGUUAUGUCAUUGACAUCAUACACACAUGCUUACAUUUUGAAGGUUGCUAGCGUUUCCCAUUAAUGCUUCUGAAUUGAUGCCAAAGGAAAGCAUUGAUUAUAAAUUAGGUUCCUUGGUAUUAGUUGGUGCAUGACCCUGACCCUUUUCAAGCUAUAUGAAAGGUAAUGAUGCUCUCAAAAGCCUGCAAAAUGGCUUAUUCAGGAAAGCAUAAUGGAUUAAAAAUCCAUUAGGUUCCACUUUCUUUGCUAGAUGCUGAGAUACAAAGAUAAAUGAGAUUUGGUCUCUGCCCUCGAGGAGAUACGUGGCAAAAUAAUAUGGUAAGUUCUACAAAGUUCUAUACAAACACAGAUUAAUAUGCUAUUCAUGUUUUAUUAGCCAUUGCCAAAGAAGGGAUGAAGAACUGCAAAAAGAUAAAACACAGAAUACUUGUACUUCAGGUCCUUGCCAAUAUCUACUGCCCAACUUUUACAAAAAAAAUUGCUGAAAGGCAUGAAAUAUAUGAAUGCCUUUCUAAAGCACAUGUGGAUAAUCUAUACUUCUGGAGCAUCUAUGAUUUAUUUUCAGAACAAUCCAAGUUAUUAGAAAGGUAAAUAUGUUGGUGACAUUGUUUAGAAGUUCCUCAAGCAGAAUUGCCUUUACUAUGCUUUGACAUUAUGCUCUCAGCUUAUAUACAGUAAUUCUAUGUGAAACAGUAGCCAGCUUACACAACCUGCUCUAUAUCUACUACAGAGCUGUUACUAAAGUGUUGGUCAACAUAUAACUUACUAUUUCUUAUAUAAAGAUGCCCAAGAAAUUUAGAUUUCAUAGAUAUAUCCCCAAAAGCAUUUCUUUCAAUACCAGUUUAAUGAAUUGAACUUUCAUACCUCACUUAAAUCAACCCAGGGUAAAGUGGUAUGUUCUGUUCUUACACACAAUGAAAAUCAUGUAACUAAUUAAAGUUAGCAUUUAUUUUAGCUACUAGGGAUGCCAGAGUCAAAUUAACAGCUGAAAAUGAAUAACUACAUAAGACCUUAAGCCUUUUAUAUCUUUUCUUUUUUUUUAAUCACCUUAACUACUGCAAUUUUGGUUUCUUAGGUAAUGAUAAUAUUAUUUUCUUUUAAUUAUUUGUUUUAAUGUGUGACCUCAUGUAAAUGUCCUCAUAAAAUCAGAAGUGGAGUAAAUAAAUAAAUAAAGUAAAUUUCUCUACUUUUUGAUUAUUGGGUGAGUGUAUAUGGUUGUUUUAUAAAUUUAUUCUAAAUAGGAUACUAAAAUACAGAAAAUGUAUCAUCUAAUUAGCUAUGAAGAUAAAAAUCUAAACUAUAAUGAGGAAAUAUUAAAAUGUCAAGAUGACGAAGAAAUUUUUCAGUUUAUAUAAUUAUAGAUCAGCUUAAUUUCAAACCACUUUGUUACCCUAUUGCUAUUUUUAUACUCUAAAUAGUGUCCCUUAUAUGACUAAGACUUUUUGUUAUCUCAGAGAUUGGAAGUGUUAAUUGUCCACCUUGUUAGAAGACAUGGUAACUAUAGGAAUUUAGAAAGCAUGAUAGCCCAACUGUAAUGAAUAUAUUCUAGAAUGAGGUUGUCACAAAGAAACUGAAAACAAGAAUUUCCUCUAACAACUGAGCUCAGGAUUCUUUUCAGAGGAAAAUUUAGCUUGCAUAAAUUCUUGCCAUCUUGGCUCUAGUUGACUUCUUGCUCUCAACUUUUGCAAAGUGAGAUCACCUUUACCUCUUCAACCUAUGAGGCCAACAUGUUACUUUCAAUUUUUCAGGAAAAUCUACGUCUUGUUUGGCUGAGGUUUGAUUAUUAUUCCUUAACUAAAAUAUUUUAAUGUAGCUGUGCUUUUUAAUUUGAAUAUUGCUAUUGAUUCAAACAUUGGGUAGCAUAUCUUUCAAAUGUGAAAUUUUAAAACAUGUAUUAAAGACAAACAUAAAUUAGUUUUGGUAUAACUAUUUUUUAAGAUUAAUCCAAUGCUUUUUUGGCUUUAGAUGAUGUUUGGUAAUUAGCUAUAUUCAAAAGUCAACCUUUUUUUUUUUUCAAAAAAUGAACUCCUAUGUAUAUGAGUGUUAUUUUUAUCUACCCAUGUCUUUUUUGUCUACAUAUACAGUUUUAAUCAUUGUUUCGGGGGGAGGAAUAAGAAUGAUUUUGAAAUUUCACUAAGAAAGAUAU
This 2694-nucleotide long non-coding RNA is filed under the name Homo sapiens (human). RNAcentral describes it as "CTXN2 antisense RNA 1 (CTXN2-AS1)". The record is from RNAcentral. Lineage: Eukaryota; Metazoa; Chordata; Mammalia; Primates; Hominidae.